CCAAUAGCGUAUAUUAAAGUUGUUGCAGUUAAAAAGCUCGUAGUUGAAUUUCGGGAUCAUCAGGUUGGUCGUGCCUCUGGUAUGUACUUGCUUCGAUGGACCCUCCUUCUUGAAGAACCGUAAUGGCCUUAAUUUGUUGUUGCGGGGAAAAAGGCCUGUUACUUUGAAAAACUUAGAGUGUUUAAAGCAGGCAAUCGCUUGAAUACAUUAGCAUGGAAUAAUGAAAUAGGACGUUCGAUCCUAUUUUGUUGGUUUCUAGGAUUGACGUAAUGAUUAAUAGGGAUAGUGGGGGGCAUUAGUAUUCAAUGGUCAGAGGUGAAAUUCGUGGAUUUAUUGAAGACUAACUACUGCGAAAGCAUUUGCCAAGGAUGUUUUCAUUAAUCAAGAACGAAAGUUAGGGGAUCGAAGACGAUCAGAUACCGUCGUAGUCUUAACCAUAAACUAUGCCGACUAGGGAUCGGGCGAUGUUAUUGUAUUGACUCGCUCGGCACCUUUCG
Molecule: ribosomal RNA, 497 nt
Filed under: uncultured Glomus
Lineage: Eukaryota; Fungi; Glomeromycota; Glomeromycetes; Glomerales; Glomeraceae
Description: SSU rRNA
Rfam family: Eukaryotic small subunit ribosomal RNA
Source: RNAcentral